This 594-nucleotide ribosomal RNA is filed under the name uncultured bacterium. Its description in RNAcentral is "bacterial SSU rRNA". It matches the Rfam family "Bacterial small subunit ribosomal RNA", at positions 338 to 917 of the family's 1533-position model. The record is from RNAcentral.
CCUACGGGAGGCAGCAGUGGGGAAUAUUGGACAAUGGGCGGAAGCCUGAUCCAGCCAUGCCGCGUGUGUGAAGAAGGCCUUUUGGUUGUAAAGCACUUUAAGCGAGGAGGAGGCUACUAGUACUAAUACUACUGGAUAGUGGACGUUACUCGCAGAAUAAGCACCGGCUAACUCUGUGCCAGCAGCCGCGGUAAUACAGAGGGUGCGAGCGUUAAUCGGAUUUACUGGGCGUAAAGCGUGCGUAGGCGGCUUUUUAAGUCGGAUGUGAAAUCCCCGAGCUUAACUUGGGAAUUGCAUUCGAUACUGGGAAGCUAGAGUAUGGGAGAGGAUGGUAGAAUUCCAGGUGUAGCGGUGAAAUGCGUAGAGAUCUGGAGGAAUACCGAUGGCGAAGGCAGCCAUCUGGCCUAAUACUGACGCUGAGGUACGAAAGCAUGGGGAGCAAACAGGAUUAGAUACCCUGGUAGUCCAUGCCGUAAACGAUGUCUACUAGCCGUUGGGGCCUUUGAGGCUUUAGUGGCGCAGCUAACGCGAUAAGUAAGACCGCCUUGGGGAGUACGGUUCGCAAGCUUAAAACUUCAAAAUUGAAUUGACCGG